RNAcentral lists this ribosomal RNA (442 nucleotides) under uncultured bacterium. RNAcentral's name for it is "bacterial SSU rRNA". It matches the Rfam family "Bacterial small subunit ribosomal RNA", at positions 920 to 1359 of the family's 1533-position model. The record is from RNAcentral.
GAACUCGCACAAGCGGUGGAGCAUGCGGUUUAAUUCGAUGCAACGCGGAGAACCUUACCAGGUCUUGACAUACUAUUGACAAGACUAGAGAUAGUCCUUUUCUUCGGAACAAUAGAUACAGGUGGUGCAUGGUUGUCGUCAGCUCGUGUCGUGAGAUGUUGGGUUAAGUCCCGCAACGAGCGCAACCCUUAUCAUUAGUUACUAACAUUAAGUUGAGAACUCUAAUGAGACCGCCGGUGAUAAACCGGAUGAAGGUGGGGAUGACGUCAAAUCAUCAUGCCCCUUAUGACCUGGGCUACACGCGUGCUACAAUGGCUGGUACAAAGAGCUGCAAUACUGUGAAGUGGAGCUAAUCUCAUAAAGCCAGUCUCAGUUCGGAUUGUAGUCUGCAACUCGACUACAUGAAGUUGGAAUUCGCUAGUAAUCGUAAAUCAGAAUGUUA